Molecule: ribosomal RNA, 480 nt
Filed under: uncultured bacterium
Lineage: Bacteria
Description: partial 16S ribosomal RNA
Rfam family: Bacterial small subunit ribosomal RNA
Source: RNAcentral
GACGAACGCUGGCGGCGUGCUUAACACAUGCAAGUCGAGCGGUAAGGCUCCUUUGGGAGUACACGAGCGGCGAACGGGUGAGUAACACGUGAGCAAUCUGCCCUUCUCAUCGGAAUAACCAUUGGAAACGAUGGCCAAUGCCGAAUACGACUUCCUUUCGCAUGUCAGGAAGUGGAAAGCUCCGGCGGAGAAGGAUGAGCUCGCGGCCUAUCAGCUUGUUGGUGAGGUAAUGGCUCACCAAGGCGACGACGGGUAGCCGGCCUGAGAGGGUGACCGGCGACACUGGGACUGAGACGCGGCCCAGACGCCGACGGGAGGCAGCAGUGGGGAAUAUUGGGCAAUGGGCGAAAGCCUGAUCCAGCAACGCCGCGUGAGGGAUGACGGCCUUCGGGUUGUAAACCUCUUUCAGCAGGGACGAAGCGAAAGUGACGGUACCUGCAGAAGAAGGACCGGCCAACUACGUGCCAGCCGCCGCCGUAA